This 1254-nucleotide long non-coding RNA is filed under the name Urocitellus parryii (Arctic ground squirrel). RNAcentral's name for it is "lncRNA (ENSUPAG00010003271.1)". Lineage: Eukaryota; Metazoa; Chordata; Mammalia; Rodentia; Sciuridae. The record is from RNAcentral.
CCCCCAGGCGGGCACGUCUGUGCCCUCCAAGACCCGCAAAUGAAGCAGAGCACCCACCCCAGUACAUGGCCUCUGUACACUGGACAGCCCGUCCUCCGGCGUCAACGUCGUCGUCAGAUCUAUUUUCUGCUUCAGCCUCACCACUCAGAAUUUCUGAGAGUAGCCCUGCUUCAGCCUGGGCCCUCGCUGUGGGCCCGUGAACAGGGCAGCCAGCUCUCUGGGCCUGGUGUCUGGGGACCACAGAGGACUCCUUCCCCUGCCUGGAGACACAGGUUGGACCAUUCGGAGGGCUCCUGGCACGGGUCGGAGCUGCUGCCGGCCUCUCACCCUCUCUAGCACUGGGUCCCGAGAGGCCCUGGGUGGGAGAGCUGGGUGACCCGGCACCGAGAGGAUCACAGCAGUGGACCAGGGCUGUGGGGCGCAGGGGCCAGAUUCUUUGUUGUCAUCCUUGGCUCCUAGAAGUCAUGCCCAAGAGGAUGUGCACUCUGGAAGCCUGCUUCACACCAGGGUCUGGGACCCCUUCAUACAGAAGGGAUGAGGAAGGCCAGUCCCACUGCCCUAGGGACACUUCAGCUCCAGGGAUCCGGGAUGGGGGGGCCAAGGCUGCCAGGAGGUGAGGAGUCCCAGGCACCUGGGUGGGAAAUGGGGACACCCAGGUUCCCGUCAGCUCUUCUCACCAGGCCCUGAAUCUAUAGGGAGGCAGGGGAGGUCAUUCCAGUGACUGAAUGGGGACAAGACCCUGGGCAGGGCAGGGCAGGGCUGGGCAGGCAGCGUGUGACAGGUAUGUUAUUCCUGAGGCCCAAGAAAGAGUCAGUGAGGGUCCAGGGGACUCUCCCCACCUGAUCCCCAAUUCACAUGCCCUUUGUCCCCCACUCUUCUCCAUGCACCCCAUUCGAUCACUUACUCUUUGGGCAAAUAUUUAUUGAGCACUACUAUGUGCCAGCACCAUUCCAGGUUCCCAGGUAAAACCCCAGUCCAGAGAGAAGGGCGGCAGUGACCCAGAAAACAAACCUUGCCUUAAAGAAUGAGGGUGCUGGAGGAAGCAGGGGCCAGCUGCAGUGUAGGUGGACAGGGCUCCUCAAUGGAAGGUGGCAGAAGGCUCAUGACCCUCCCUCCAGCCAGGAUCACUGGCACAUGCCUAUAAUCCCAGCAACUCUGGAGGCUGAGGCAGGAGGAUUGCAGGUUCGAGGCCAGCCUCAGCAACUUAGUAAGAUCCUAUCUCAAGAUAAAAAUAAAAAUGACUGGCCUCCUCCA